Molecule: ribosomal RNA, 253 nt
Filed under: uncultured bacterium
Lineage: Bacteria
Description: partial 16S ribosomal RNA
Rfam family: Bacterial small subunit ribosomal RNA
Source: RNAcentral
UACGUAGGGAGCAAGCGUUGUCCGGAAUCAUUGGGCGUAAAGCGCGCGUAGGUGGCCACAUAAGUCCGUUGUGAAAGUCAAAGGCUCAACCUUUGAAAGCCGAUGGAUACUGUGUGGCUAGAGUACGGAAGAGGCGAGUGGAAUUCCUGGUGUAGCGGUGGAAUGCGCAGAUAUCAGGAGGAACACCAAUAGCGAAGGCAGCUCGCUGGGACGUUACUGACACUGAGGCGCGAAAGCGUGGGGGGCGAACAGG